This 121-nucleotide ribosomal RNA is filed under the name Dorea formicigenerans. Its description in RNAcentral is "partial 23S ribosomal RNA". It matches the Rfam family "Bacterial large subunit ribosomal RNA", at positions 2803 to 2925 of the family's 2925-position model. The record is from RNAcentral. Lineage: Bacteria; Bacillati; Bacillota; Clostridia; Lachnospirales; Lachnospiraceae.
GAUGAGAUAUCCCAACGAAAGUUGUAAGACCCCUUGAAGACGACGAGGUAGAUAGGACAGAGGUGGAAGUGUGGUAACACAUGGAGCUGACUGUUACUAAUAGGUCGAGGGCAUAACCAAG